This 467-nucleotide ribosomal RNA is filed under the name uncultured bacterium. RNAcentral describes it as "partial 16S ribosomal RNA". It matches the Rfam family "Bacterial small subunit ribosomal RNA", at positions 28 to 506 of the family's 1533-position model. The record is from RNAcentral.
GACGAACGCUGGCGGCGUGCUUAACACAUGCAAGUCGAACGGAAAGGCCCUGCUUUUGUGGGGUGCUCGAGUGGCGAACGGGUGAGUAACACGUGAGUAACCUGCCCUUGACUUUGGGAUAACUUCAGGAAACUGGGGCUAAUACCGGAUAGGAGCUCCUGCUGCAUGGUGGGGGUUGGAAAGUUUCGGCGGUUGGGGAUGGACUCGCGGCUUAUCAGCUUGUUGGUGGGGUAGUGGCUUACCAAGGCUUUGACGGGUAGCCGGCCUGAGAGGGUGACCGGCCACAUUGGGACUGAGAUACGGCCCAGACGCCUACGGGAGGCAGCAGUGGGGAAUAUUGCACAAUGGGCGGAAGCCGGAUGCAGCAACGCCGCGUGCGGGAUGACGGCCUUCGGGUUGUAAACCGCUUUCGCUUGUGACGAAGCGUGAGUGACGGUAAUGGGGAAAGAAGCACCGGCUAACUACGU